Molecule: long non-coding RNA, 2476 nt
Organism: Neofelis nebulosa (Clouded leopard)
Lineage: Eukaryota; Metazoa; Chordata; Mammalia; Carnivora; Felidae
Exons: 4
Source: RefSeq, a predicted model, not a curated record
UGCCCUGCCCUGCCCUAGAGUUAGUCUCUGCCUGACUCUGGCUUGCUCAACAAAUCCUACCCUAGGCACCCUCCACUCCAGCCCUAUGUGACCAGAAAGUGAAGCGCUUCGUGCCUGGCUUCCGAGUUAUGGGACUGUCUCACACACAGCAAAGUGAAGGAGGAAGGGCAGAAGGAUGACGGAGGGUUAAAGAUGAGUAAACCAGAUUUACCUGGGGCCAGAACCCAAUCGCCCUAUGGCCACACCAAGAAGGAUGACCGUCUUCUGCAUCAGUAAGGGGGUAAGCUGUGAAUCUGGAAUAACAGCCCUUGGCCGGGCUCUGAGAUAACACUGUAAGUAUAAUACAAAUUCAUUCAACUAACUCGUUGAACAUCUACUGUGUGCCAGGCACUGUGGUAGAAAAUGGGAGUAAACCAUGAGUAAGACAUAGUCUCUGCCCUCAGAGUUCCCGCAGAGCAGUGAGGGGAACAGACAAGAAAAGACACCGACACUUUGACACCUAUGCCUAUAACAAUGAGUGCUCCCUCAGUACCAGGUACGUGCCUGAAGGUCUCCACUGAUUAUUUCACAUAGUACUGAAAUUGACCUGGGGAGGUGGGUAAUAUUAUUCUCAUUUAAUAGAUAAAAGAGGUGAGGCUAAGAGAAUUUUACUUGCCCAAGAUCACACAACUCAGCUGGUGGCAGAAUAAAGAUGUGGACUUGGCCUUGCCUGGCUCCAGCUGUGAUAUGGCUAUCCCCCUCAUGGUUUGUUAGAAACAUGUCUUGGUUCUUCUUCCCUGCCUUGCCCCUGCUGCAGAAACUCUUGGUCUGCCUGCUGUGCAACGUGGUUCCCCAGGAUGCAAUCUACCUCCUUCGAACAGGGAGAGCAGAGGCUUUGGCUUGUCACAAGAGCUAGAUGUGCUUUAGCGUUUUCAGGGCCCCUGCCCUCAAGGAGCCUACAGUCUAGGAGAAGAGAUGUGAUGCAUACAAAUAUCCAGGUUAUAAGAAUGACGAAUCUAUGAGCUGUUUUAUAUUUUUAAGACAGUCUCAGCCUGACAACAGACAGUUGUCUCCCCUGACAACACUUUUGCAAUCUCCAUAAUGGAUUCCCUACAUUGCAUUAUAUUUAUAUUCUACACUUGUAGUUGUGAAGCCCUUCAAAGCUCUGACUUUGAUAUAUCUCACAUCUUGUAUAUUUCUCAAAUCUAGCAUCCUUAUUCCUGGGGCAGAUAUCACUGCCCUCUUACUUCUUGCCUAGGUUCUCACCACAGCCUUUUUACAGCUCCCUCCCUCAAAUCUCUCCAUUCUUCACAUUGUAGUCAGAGUGAUCUUGCACUGCCAAUUUUGGGUCGAUCCCUUGCUUAAAACCCUCGAUGGCACACCACAACCCCCAGGAUGAAUCCAAGCUUCUAAGCCUGGUAUUCCAGACUCUCCCAUUAUGUCUUGCACAUUCUGUGCUUCAGCAACAUUCUAUGCCCCGGCAAGAGGGGGCUGCUUACAAUCUCCUUCUACGCACUCUGCUGUUCCCCAGCUCUGGGCCCAUGUCCUUCUGUCCUUCUUAAAAACAUGCUUUCUCCCCACCUUCGCCUGAACAACUUCUACUCAUUCAUCAAGACUGAACCGGGACAGAGAUGACAUAGGAAACCUUCUUGGACCCGCAUCCGCCAUAUCGUAUGACAACUGUCUCCUCAUGUGCCGGUUUUCACCACUAGACUGAGUCUCAUGAAGACAACUGAGGGUGUCUUCUUCAUCUUUGUACCUCCAGCACCUACCACGGUUUCAGGAACAUAAUAGUCAUUCAGAGCUCAAAUAAAUGGCCAUCCGUUUCUUCCAGGGUAAUCGCAUGUUUUUCAUUUUUGACCCAAGAAUUUGGACACUGUGUACCCCGGCCAGUUCUUCCUAUAUAUGAGCAAGAGAUCUGCAUUCUCCAGAUUCUGGAGAAAGUGAAGUCAUCUCCUUAACGAUGGCUCAGAAUUGACUUUUCAGCCUGUCUCCGCAGCCAACACUGGGCUCUUUGGCAAGACAGCACUGCAGCCAGCCUAUCAGAGUUCCAUUUCUGGUCACUGCAGAUACUUUAAUUUCUACCCUAGGACAGAAACCACCAUUUGAUUGGUGGACAUUUAAUGGAUUAGGUGGUGCUUCAGAGAGAGCUUUUCCCCUAAGUAUCCAUCUUUCAUGGUGUCCAGAAAGCCUUCAAAGUACGUCAAGUGCACAAAAAUGUACAAAUAUGGUGCCUGCUUAUUCAUUGAACUGAAAAUCUACUAUCCUCUCUCUUUCCAGCCUGGAACUGGGUGAGUUAUAUUUAAGUCUCCAGCCUCGCCCUGAAUAUAGCUCACUCUAAAAGGAUAACCAAAGAGGGAAAAAUUAACACAGACCUAUGAAAAUCAAUGUAACAUAAGAGGAGAAAAAUGGCCCAAUAUUCUAGAGUAAGAUAUAGAAUUUUCCCCUUUCGAUGUAGAUUUUUUUGGGUAUGGAAUAAAAACAUUUUUAGAAACGA